RNAcentral lists this unclassified non-coding RNA (170 nucleotides) under uncultured fungus. RNAcentral's name for it is "sequence contains ITS1". The record is from RNAcentral. Lineage: Eukaryota; Fungi.
UUAACGAUUGUUUUUUUCUGACGCUGAUUGCAACUGCAAAGGGUUUAUGGUUGUCCGAUCGGCAGGCAAGCCCGCCGAGGAAACGUGUGGUACGCAAAAGACAAGGGUAUAGCAGGGACCGAAGUCCGCUGAUAUUGAUAAUGAUCCUUCCGCAGGUUCACCUACGGAAA